GCCAGAGGAGGCAAUCGUUGUUCGGAAUCAUUGGGCUUAAAGCGCGCGUAGGCGGCCUUGUAAGUGUCUUGUGAAAUCCCACGGCUCACCCGUGGAACUGCAGGGCAAACUGCAAGACUUGAGGUCGGUAGAGGCGCCUGGAACUCUAGGUGGAGCGGUGAAAUGCGUAGAUAUCUAGGGGAACGCCGGAGGCGAAAGCGGGGCGCUGGGCCGAUUCUGACGCUGAUGCGCGAAAGCGUGGGGAGAAAACAGG
RNAcentral lists this ribosomal RNA (253 nucleotides) under uncultured bacterium. RNAcentral's name for it is "partial 16S ribosomal RNA". It matches the Rfam family "Bacterial small subunit ribosomal RNA", at positions 524 to 776 of the family's 1533-position model. The record is from RNAcentral.